CCAAAAAGUACUGUGUGUAAAAAACAUAGCUACUGCUGCUGUCCAUGCAGGCGUAAUCGAUUACCAUGAUUAGGGUAAUCGAUUACACAGUCCAAAAUAGCCUGGAAAUCAAUUUUUUGUCUGUGUAAUCGAUUACCAUGAUUAGGGUAAUCGAUUACAUGGUCCAAAAUGGCCUAAAAAUUAAUUUUUUGUCUGUGUAAUCGUUUAGCAUGAUUAGGGUAAUCGGUUAUAUAGUCCCAAUUUUUUUUAUUUUUUUUUAGAACUUUAACCGGAUAACCCCAUUUUUUGUGUAAAC
RNAcentral lists this long non-coding RNA (295 nucleotides) under Lathyrus oleraceus (garden pea). RNAcentral's name for it is "Pisum sativum (pea) long non-coding RNA (PSAT_LNC005441)". The record is from RNAcentral. Lineage: Eukaryota; Viridiplantae; Streptophyta; Magnoliopsida; Fabales; Fabaceae.